UAUUUAUUUCCACAUAGUCUUAUUUUAUUUCUAUCUUCAAGUGGUUACUUUAGAGGGGAGCUUGAGACCCUUGAGAACAAGGGACUCAAGGGACUGAGAGGCUGGAGUGGAAAAAUGUCUGUCAGGUGUGGACAGAGAGAUGGGGGAGGUAGUGGCUUGAAACGGGAGGUAGAGGAUUGAAAAGGGAUAUAUCAAGGAUUCAAAAAGAAAAAAAAACUGAAGGGAAAAUCCAAGAAGUCAAAAAAGAAGAAGAGAAAGCAGAAAUAAAUGGAAAGAAGAGGUCCUAGAGGAGCCAGUAUGGGGAGAUCUUAAGUUUCUCAAAGAGGCCAAUGAAUUUUUACAUUAUUAUUGGCAAAAAACAUUCCAAGAAAAAAAAAUAGUAAACAAAUAAGAAAAGGCAGAGCAUAUAGUUAGCAGGGGUUUGAAA
RNAcentral lists this long non-coding RNA (427 nucleotides) under Homo sapiens (human). RNAcentral's name for it is "HSALNT0063532". Lineage: Eukaryota; Metazoa; Chordata; Mammalia; Primates; Hominidae. The record is from RNAcentral.